Molecule: ribosomal RNA, 431 nt
Filed under: uncultured Novosphingobium sp.
Lineage: Bacteria; Pseudomonadati; Pseudomonadota; Alphaproteobacteria; Sphingomonadales; Sphingomonadaceae
Description: bacterial SSU rRNA
Rfam family: Bacterial small subunit ribosomal RNA
Source: RNAcentral
AGAGUUUGAUCAUGGCUCAGAACGAACGCUGGCGGCAUGCCUAACACAUGCAAGUCGAACGAGACCUUCGGGUCUAGUGGCGCACGGGUGCGUAACGCGUGGGAAUCUACCCUUGGGUUCGGAAUAACAGUUAGAAAUGACUGCUAAUACCGGAUGAUGACGUAAGUCCAAAGAUUUAUCGCCCAGGGAUGAGCCCGCGUAAGAUUAGCUAGUUGGUGGGGUAAAGGCCUACCAAGGCUACGAUCUUUAGCUGGUCUGAGAGGAUGAUCAGCCACACUGGGACUGAGACACGGCCCAGACUCCUACGGGAGGCAGCAGUGGGGAAUAUUGGACAAUGGGCGAAAGCCUGAUCCAGCAAUGCCGCGUGAGUGAUGAAGGCCUUAGGGUUGUAAAGCUCUUUUACCAGGGAUGAUAAUGACAGUACCUGAGAA